RNAcentral lists this unclassified non-coding RNA (354 nucleotides) under soil metagenome. Its description in RNAcentral is "partial contains 5.8S ribosomal RNA, internal transcribed spacer 2, and large subunit ribosomal RNA". The stretch from base 1 to 120 matches the Rfam family "5.8S ribosomal RNA", at positions 35 to 154 of the family's 154-position model. The record is from RNAcentral.
GAUGAAGAACGUAGCGAAAUGCGAUAAGUAAUGUGAAUUGCAGAAUUCAGUGAAUCAUCGAAUCUUUGAACGCACAUUGCGCCCCCUGGCAUUCCGGGGGGCAUGCCUGUCCGAGCGUCAUUUCUGCCCUCCAGCCCGGCUGGGUGUUGGGCGCUGUCCCCCCGGGGACACGCCCCAAAGGCAGUGGCGGCGCCGCGUCGGGUCCUCGAGCGUAUGGGGCUUUGUCACCCGCUCGGGACGGACUCGUCGGCGCUGGUCUUCCUCCAGGCGACCCUUCGGGGCUCGUCUUCCUUCGGUUGACCUCGGAUCAGGUAGGGUUACCCGCUGAACUUAAGCAUAUCAAUGAGCGGAGGA